RNAcentral lists this ribosomal RNA (387 nucleotides) under Triticum aestivum (bread wheat). Its description in RNAcentral is "partial small subunit ribosomal RNA". Lineage: Eukaryota; Viridiplantae; Streptophyta; Magnoliopsida; Poales; Poaceae. The record is from RNAcentral.
AUGGCUCCUCCUGCUGAACCUCCUACUGUACCUACAAAUCUAAGGGCACCAUUGUGGAGCCAUGUUCAAAUCAUAGAGAAAUCACCUGGAGGGGGCAACACUAAAUGGAAAUGUGACUACUGUGGUCAUGAAGCUUUGAGUAGCUACUCUAGAGUUUCUGCUCAUUUGCUAAAGAAGACAGGGAACCAUGGAAUCCAUGCAUGUAAAAAGGCCACGGUUGACAUUCUGAAUCCCUUUUUUAAAAAAAGUAGUAAAACGUAUCCGUAUUGGCACUUUUUCAAAAUGACGAAUUUACGUAUCCGUAUUGGCCCGAUACUGAUACCCGUAUCCGUAUCGGUGCAUUCGAGAUGCAGAGCAUAUACUGAUACUUCAGAUGUAACAAAAUAA